This 388-nucleotide ribosomal RNA is filed under the name uncultured bacterium. Its description in RNAcentral is "bacterial SSU rRNA". It matches the Rfam family "Bacterial small subunit ribosomal RNA", at positions 29 to 417 of the family's 1533-position model. The record is from RNAcentral.
AUUGAACGCUGGCGGCAUGCUUUACACAUGCAAGUCGAACGCGAAAGCGGGGGCAACUCCGCCGGUAGAGUGGCGAACGGGUGAGUAAUACAUCGGAACGUACCCAGUUGUGGGGGACAACCAGUCGAAAGACAGGCUAAUACCGCAUACGCUGGAGACAGGAAAGGGGCGCCCGCAAGGGGCUCUCGCAAUUGGCGCGGCCGAUGUCGGAUUAGCUAGUUGGUGAGGUAAAAGCNCACCAAGGCGACGAUCCGUAGCUGGUCUGAGAGGAUGAUCAGCCACACUGGGACUGAGACACGGCCCAGACUCCUACGGGAGGCAGCAGUGGGGAAUUUUGGACAAUGGGGGCAACCCUGAUCCAGCCAUGCCGCGUGAGGGAAGAAGGCCU